RNAcentral lists this unclassified non-coding RNA (299 nucleotides) under Hevea brasiliensis (rubber tree). The record is from RNAcentral. Lineage: Eukaryota; Viridiplantae; Streptophyta; Magnoliopsida; Malpighiales; Euphorbiaceae.
AUGGAACCCAAAGAAUUGUGCAUACAAUUACUGUCAGUCCGUCAGCUCGGUGAUCAGCACUAGCACAGCUAAUGGGAUGCAAUUGAGGAGCGUCCAUGCCUAUCCUAGGACCAUAUACUUUCAUUUUACCAUGACAUGAGCAAACGAUUCCAUCCACAGUCGAAGGCUCAAGAAUGUUGAUAGCAACAAUGUCAUUUGCGGCAAAUAUCUUGGCUUGCGUAUCAGCUGCGGGUUGUGAGUAUAUAUAUUGGUAGUUAUCGUCCGACAAAAUGUUUGUGCUAUUUAUGAAAUUAACGAAG